GAUUAUCAUUAAUCGUACCCCAAACCGACACAGGUGGUCAGGUAGAGAAUACUCAGGCGCUUGAGAGAACUCGGGUGAAGGAACUAGGCAAAAUGGUGCCGUAACUUCGGGAGAAGGCACGCUGGCACUAGGUGAAGUGGUUUACCCAUGGAGCUGAAGCCAGUCGCAGAUACCAGCUGGCUGCAACUGUUUAUUAAAAACACAGCACUGUGCAAACACGAAAGUGGACGUAUACGGUGUGACGCCUGCCCGGUG
This is a ribosomal RNA of 255 nucleotides. It matches the Rfam family "Bacterial large subunit ribosomal RNA", at positions 1630 to 1868 of the family's 2925-position model.